ACGUAGGUGGCAAGCGUUGUUCGGAAUUACUGGGCGUAAAGGGCGCGUAGGCGGCGUAUUAAGUCAGCUGUGAAAUCUCCGAGCUUAACUCGGAACGGUCAGCUGAUACUGAUGUGCUAGAGUGCAGAAGGGGCAAUCGGAAUUCUUGGUGUAGCGGUGAAAUGCGUAGAUAUCAAGAGGAACACCUGAGGUGAAGACGGGUUGCUGGGCUGACACUGACGCUGAGGCACGAAAGCGUGGGGAGCAAACAGGA
Molecule: ribosomal RNA, 253 nt
Filed under: uncultured prokaryote
Description: partial 16S ribosomal RNA
Rfam family: Bacterial small subunit ribosomal RNA
Source: RNAcentral